CAAGUCGUCUGCAUGAUACUCCGACCAUGUUCGGUAAAACAGUUAUAAGCACGACUUAGAUAUAAACGUAAUAUUGGCUGAAAUGGAUUUACAUGGGGAGUGUAAGGUGUGGUGGCGAGCACGUCAAUUCAUACAUGUUACGACACGCCAGAACGGGCUUAUCACUGUGGCCGAUGUGUUACAUCGUGAUGACAUUAUAUGCACUAGUAGUAAUCAGCGAACGUGUUGCUUGUACUAUAAGUGAUUUCGAAAAAGAAAGUAGUGAAAAGAACCGAAAAUGUGUAUUUAAUAUGCAGUGUUAAAGUGAAGAUUUUUUGAAAAUUAAGUCAGGAAGUCAUCACUUCAGAGUCUUCGGGAUUGAACAGCAUGUCACGCGUAUCCACUUAUACAUAUGCAUGUAUAUCAUACUACAUGAAAUCAGUUGAACCGCUGAAGUUUUGGACAUCCGGCCAAGAAAUCAAAUUGUUGUCAAAAGCCUACGAAGUCCACUGUUAACAUCGCCUGAAAAAGGAAUCCGCAACACGUGAUAAACAUGAUGAUACAUGACACAUGAGAAAUUGGACAACAAAAAGAAAAAAGUUGAUUUGACAAAAAGAAACUCCAGUCAGAGAGAAGAAUUCGCCAGCUGGAAAGAGAAUAAAAACCAUCAAGAAGAACACCAUCGGCAGAGUCGUCAAUAAAAACGGCCAAGCUGGAUGGAACAGAAGAUGUUGAUCGAGAUAUUUAUUUCUGUGCCUGGAACUAAGGCCUCUUGUGGUGAGCACAAGAGUUCACGAAUAUGUGAUACUUACGGUUGAGAAGUUCCUGACGGUUAUGUUUAAACAUUCACCAGGUACUUCUUAUUAUCACAGAAAAUGUCCAAGUCGUGUCCUUCAAUUGUGGUUAUCAUACGAUCAUAACCCUCCAAAUUGGCAUUGAUAUUCUCCCCGCACGAAAGAGUGCACCACACUGUAAGCUAUUUUUUGUGUAACGGGAUGUGCUGGAAAUUGCUCGAUUUCGUUUUGGUGGCGAGUUUGCAAAUCGCACGAAUUUGUUUGAGGUCUGAUGAAAUUUAAUCGGUUUUAUACAGGUUCUGUUUUUUUUUUUUUUAAUGACAAAUGUACAUGUUUCUGUGAUUAUGAGCGUUUUUGCUGUUUCUGCGUAUAUAAUUACCGAAAUAAUUGAAAAAAAAAGUUUUUUUUAGAGAAUUCGCCAAUCCACCAGAAAAUUCAGGAGCUGUGUUUCCAAAUUUAACGUUCGGUAUCUAAUUAUUUACUGAUUCAUCUCGUUCUACAGGAUAAAUAAGAAGCAUUUGAAAAUAUUAUUUACAAUAUAUGGCCAUUUUAUACUGAUAUACUGAAUUAAAUGAGAACAAUUUGUAUCUUUGUACCUUUUUUAUUAUUAAAUAUAAUAACAAUAUGUAAAAUAACUAUGGGCGAUUUCCAAAAAAUCUAAAAACAAAAUUGUAUGAUGUGGUUGCAACCCUGCAUUCCAUAAAUUUGCCCUGCAACAAUGCUUUGCAAACUCUGACAUUUUGGGACGCUUUUCGGGCAAAUAAGUUGAUUAUCGGUGAAAGGCUAAAAUAUGAAACAGAUCAUGAAAAUAAGUAAUACAAUGUUUAAAAAUAGAAAUUAGCGCAAGAAACUUAUCCUCCCACUUCGACCAUUGUUGUUAAGAAUUUAUGAUAACAUAAAGCAUCACAAACCUUAGAGAUGCAUUUUGGAACAUGAUACAUUGCCAAAGUUUGCACAGUUGCAUUUAAGAGUGCGUGACAUUGUAUGGUUGCUUCGCAACUGACGUUUUGGAACUCAAUCUAAGCUGUAAUAACCAAAGUUCAUAAAAUUUAUAACAUUUUCGUCUCUGUAUUUUACGCUUUCUUCUAAAAGUAGGCGUUCACUGUAUACAUUUUAGCAAAAUAAAAUAUAAAUUUUUCAUUGUCAAAUCACCAGAUCGCGUGCUUGUACCCGCGACCGGCAUAAAUAUCUCGAUUUCGAUUUCUGGCACUGUGAUGUCGUUGCGGUUUGGUGUUCGAAAACGGAAACAGUACAGUGAAACUCAACACAUGGCAUCGCAUUUUCGAUGACAAUUUCAUGCGGAAACGAUUUGCAGCACAUGCGCGACAGGCUUGAACAAAUCUAACGGUUCAUGCUACACUUUAAUCGCAAAAAAUAGUCUCAUAAUUAUGAUAUUUUAGCUCAAAUUAAUGUUUUCAAAGAAUUAAUGUCCAUUUUGACAAUUUCUGCUUUAAGGCGAAUUUAAUGAGUGAAGAUACCUUGAAUCUACUGCUCAGAGACAAUGAAAAUUACUGUUAUAAUUGAUUUGUUGCAAUAACCAAUGAACAUACAUACAUACAUAUGAAUUGACUAUUGACAUAAACAUUGACUUUUUGCUCAGCGCACGAAAAAUGCUUGCUUCACUGUAAACAAUUUUUAGUCGAUUUCUUACGAUCGCGAUUAAAUUUCUUUUGUGACCUUUUGAUUUCAUGUUGAAUAUAACUGGAUAUUUUUGUACAGUUUGCACGAAUCGUACAUUAAACUUCUGAUCCAAUAGACCAUCCAAUACGAGGCACUCAUCCAAAUAGCAAUACACAAUGGGUGAAUCGAAAGCAACGUAAACAUUCAACUACUCAAAACAAACUGGUUUGGCUUUGCAUUUCAAUCGCCUUGUACAAGUCUGUUGGUAAUGUAGAGCGCAAUAGCCACACGAUCAUACAUAUGUACAUAUACACACAUAUAUUUUAAUGUUCGUUUGAAUUUAAGAGAAGACAAUUUGUUGAAUUGCAUUUUUAAUUCCAGAGAGUACUG
RNAcentral lists this long non-coding RNA (2783 nucleotides) under Ceratitis capitata (Mediterranean fruit fly). RNAcentral describes it as "uncharacterized LOC110118046, transcript variant X2". The record is from RNAcentral. Lineage: Eukaryota; Metazoa; Arthropoda; Insecta; Diptera; Tephritidae.